Molecule: ribosomal RNA, 468 nt
Filed under: uncultured bacterium
Lineage: Bacteria
Description: partial 16S ribosomal RNA
Rfam family: Bacterial small subunit ribosomal RNA
Source: RNAcentral
GACGAACGCUGGCGGCGUGCUUAACACAUGCAAGUCGAACGGAAAGGCCCGGCUCUUGCGGGGUGCUCGAGUGGCGAACGGGUGAGUAACACGUGAGUAACCUGCCCUUGACUGUGGGAUAACUUCAGGAAACUGGGGCGAAUACCGGAUAGGAGCUCCUGCUGCAUGGUGGGGGUUGGAAAGUUUCGGCGGUUGGGGAUGGACUCGCGGCUUAUCAGCUUGUUGGUGGGGUAGUGGCUUACCAAGGCUUUGACGGGUAGCCGGCCUGAGAGGGUGACCGGCCUCCUUGGGCCUGCGAUACGGCCCAGUCUCCUACGGGAGGCAGCGGUGGGGAAUAUUGCGCAGUGGGCGGAAGCCUGAUGCAGCAGCGCCGCGUUCGGGAUGCCGUCCUUCGGGUUGUAAACCGCUUUCGCCUGUGACGAGGCGUGAGUGACGGUAAUGAGUAAGGAAGCACCGGCUAACUACGUG